This 245-nucleotide ribosomal RNA is filed under the name uncultured bacterium. RNAcentral's name for it is "partial 16S ribosomal RNA". It matches the Rfam family "Bacterial small subunit ribosomal RNA", at positions 111 to 354 of the family's 1533-position model. The record is from RNAcentral.
UAACGCGUGGGCAACCUGCCUCAUACAGGGGGAUAGCAUCGGGAAACUGGUGGUAAAACCGCAUAAGCGCACGAAGACGCAUGUAUUCGUGUGAAAAGGAGAAAUCUGGUAUGAGAUGGACCCGCGUCUGAUUAGCUAGUUGGAGUGGUAAAAGCACACCAAGGCGACGAUCAGUAGCCGGCCUGAGAGGGUGGACGGCCACAUUGGGACUGAGACACGGCCCAGACUCCUACGGGAGGCAGCAG